This 388-nucleotide ribosomal RNA is filed under the name Escherichia coli. RNAcentral describes it as "bacterial SSU rRNA". It matches the Rfam family "Bacterial small subunit ribosomal RNA", at positions 1135 to 1522 of the family's 1533-position model. Lineage: Bacteria; Pseudomonadati; Pseudomonadota; Gammaproteobacteria; Enterobacterales; Enterobacteriaceae. The record is from RNAcentral. RNAcentral also lists the same sequence under 12 other names.
GAACUCAAAGGAGACUGCCAGUGAUAAACUGGAGGAAGGUGGGGAUGACGUCAAGUCAUCAUGGCCCUUACGACCAGGGCUACACACGUGCUACAAUGGCGCAUACAAAGAGAAGCGACCUCGCGAGAGCAAGCGGACCUCAUAAAGUGCGUCGUAGUCCGGAUUGGAGUCUGCAACUCGACUCCAUGAAGUCGGAAUCGCUAGUAAUCGUGGAUCAGAAUGCCACGGUGAAUACGUUCCCGGGCCUUGUACACACCGCCCGUCACACCAUGGGAGUGGGUUGCAAAAGAAGUAGGUAGCUUAACCUUCGGGAGGGCGCUUACCACUUUGUGAUUCAUGACUGGGGUGAAGUCGUAACAAGGUAACCGUAGGGGAACCUGCGGUUGGA